RNAcentral lists this unclassified non-coding RNA (240 nucleotides) under uncultured fungus. Its description in RNAcentral is "sequence contains ITS1, 5.8S rRNA gene". The stretch from base 192 to 240 matches the Rfam family "5.8S ribosomal RNA", at positions 1 to 49 of the family's 154-position model. Lineage: Eukaryota; Fungi. The record is from RNAcentral.
UUUCCGUAGGUGAACCUGCGGAAGGAUCAUUACCGAGUACCGGGUCUUCUAGGCCCAUACUCCCACCCUUUGUGUAUUAAUACUCUGUUCGUUGCCUCGGCGGGGUCGAUCCCAUCUAGGGGGACCUGCCGGGGGGACACCACUAAACUCUUAUCAACGGUGAAGUCUGAGAAAAUUUUUAAACGAAUUAAAACUUUCAACAACGGAUCUCUUGGUUCUGGCAUCGAUGAAGAACGCAGC